Long non-coding RNA from Grus americana (Whooping crane), 5885 nucleotides. RefSeq lists it as uncharacterized. The record is from RefSeq and is a predicted model, not a curated record. The transcript is spliced from 3 exons. NCBI's taxonomy places the organism in Eukaryota, Metazoa, Chordata, Aves, Gruiformes, Gruidae.
CGGCCUGCAGCCCGGAAGGGUUUGUUCCGCGCCGUCGUGUCAGCCCCGCAAGCCGGGGGUGGCGGGCCGAGGGUAGUCCGCCAGAAUUGAGGCCUUUAUUCCAGGGUGAGGGGGUCACGAAAGCUGUGGGGGUUCUUCAUCUGCCUGUAGGUCCUGUGUUUAUCUGUUUGUGUUUCUCUCCCGGAGCUCUCAAGGUACACGCACGCUUUGUACUCCGCCUGUGGAGGCUAGGAAGUGCCUUUUGCUCCUGAGGCCGGUGAAGGAGAAACACCAAUCUGAGAUUUUACAAGAUAAAUGUGUACAAGAACAAGAAGCUACUAAUUAUCUCCUGGUUAUAAGCAAAGAGAAAACAAGUAGUAAAGCAAAAAGAAGGACCUCUGAGUUGAAAUAUGCCAGGUGGAUAUGUGGAACAGGUCUGGGUGGGUUUUCUGCUAGUGUGUGAGCUUGUUCUGGUUUUUAUCUUAUGUCACUGUUAAAAAAAAGUACAUACUUUUGGUUACUGUGUAUAUCCAUAAGUAUCUUUUUCCUUUGGUGCCUCCAAAACAGUAAGGGUGCUGUUAAAAUUAAGGUUUAUUUUUUUAAGUAUAAAUUAAAUCUGAAUUUAGCAUAGCUUUAAUUUAAAUAGUAUUUAAAGCUUAGCUUUAAUUCUUACUUCAAAGGUAGUCUAGGUUUUAGUGUUGUCAUUAUAAUCAUUUUUAACAACUCGUAAUGCAAAUUACAGAAUUCAGAGCAUAAUAGGAAAGGUAAAAAUAGUAUAUUUUCAGAUCUUGAAUAAGAUUACCCAGUCAACAAAGUAAAUGUGUCAUGUAUAUGUAUAAGCUGAAUCUUUCUCGAUAUAUCUAAAUGUUGAACAAAUCAGUUAGAUAAACUGAAUGUAGGUAUUGAUUAAUCUUGGUUGUUCACUUUGGGUGAAUUCACUUCGGGUGAAUUCAUUUCAGAAACUUAAGGACAAAUCUUUUGUCACAUUCCUAACUGAGCGUGACCUAACCAUGACCAACAAGGUGAGGAGCAGUUCUCACCUCCUCUUGCCAAGCACCAUUAGAAUGCAUUGGGUGAGCUUCCUGCUGGAGGGGACGCUCCAGAAAACUGCCUUUCAGAACUCGAAGUCGAACUAGUAUUGACAAAAGUAUCGGCAUUUAUGUCUGUCUGUAUUUUUUGCAUUUCAGUAGGUCAGAUUUCACUGAAAAUUCUUUGAGAUCUUCAGCACAUGGAAGAUUAGAAUCAGUAUUUUAGUAUUAUAAUAAGGAGUAAUUAAGGCUUCUCAUAGAUACCAGAAAGUGAUCAAGGAAAACUCUUCUCUUCCUUUGCAAGUCUUGUGUAGUGCUAUCAGGAUUAAAUGGAGUGCAACUCAUGGUUAAUGAAGUUUUUACUCUUCUAGUAAAAUAACACUUAAUUUCUUAAAAUGCUGUCCCUUAUGGCUUUCAUACAUAAUUUCUGUCCAGACUUUCUAUUUUAGCAUAAUCAUAUGCCAUAGUUAGCCCAGACAAAUGUUUUUUAGAUUUUAUUAAUUUUAAAAUACAGUCAAGUAGACACGCACGUAUAUCUUCUCUAUAUAUUGACGGUCUAAUUCACAUAUCUAAGUUCAUCUUAGAGUCCUUCUACUAAUGCAUAGAACACCAAUGACCUUUCAUGAAAACAUCUGUGUGUUUCAGUGUGGCAACGCUGCUGCUUUUCAGUUAGGAUUAUUAAAAAGCUCGAACAGUAGUCUCCUAGAAGUGCAGAAUAGCAGUCAUUUGAGAUACUGGGGUUUUGGAGUCUGGUUUAAGAGGGAACAGUACAUACUGGAGUGAUUAAUGAGAUUUCCUUAGGUUUUUGCAUAGCUUCCUACCUAAAGCAAAAAAAAACAAACAAAAAAACCCCACACUCAAAACCAAAAAACCAACCACAAAACAGUAAGAACAGAAUAGUUGUGUGCCUUUCAUUCCUUCCUAAAGGUUUUACUUUGAAUGAUAGCCAUUUCAGCAAGAAUUUUAGCAGAUGCAGAGGACAUGCAAGGAACUUAAGGAACUUUCUGAUGUUCUGCUUUAUAAAGUCUGUUAGGCACACUUGGCACAAGCUAUGAAAGGUCCAAGUAAAAUGGCAUUUCUGUAAUACUUUUAUUCUUUCCCUUUUUUCUAAGUGUAUAUUAAGUACACAUCUGAAGAAACCACAUUUUACUCAUUUCUUUUAGGUUUGGGUAGCAGUCACAAGAGAUUAGAUGCUGUUAAGCAUAACAAAGCGUGAAGAUGACAAAUUAACCAGAGGCUUUUCAGCUUGAUCACAUCCUCCAGUGCAUAAUGGUAUAAAUUUUGCAUUCCAGACACAAAUGUUACCCUGGGGUUGAAAUCAUGCUGGAUGACUCUAUGUGAGUAAGUGUAACUGAUAGUUUGUUGGGGUUUUUUUCCCCCCAUUCCCUUCCUACUUUAAAUAUAGAAAGGAAAAUGAGUCCUCCUGAGUUAAGAGAUGAGUUAAUUGCAUGUGAAAUUUGUGAUGGAAAGUUCUGUCUAAAAAUAACAGUAGUAAAAGUUGUUGUUCUUUCACAUUUUAGGGGGAAAGUAAGAGAGUACUAGACUAGACUGAUACUCAUCUCUUUUGGGACAUUAGUACUUGACUGAUACAUAUAGCACUAUAGAUUAGAAUGGUUAAUUGUAUCAUAGCAAAAUAUUUUUUCUGUAGUUUUUCUAUUAAAUGUCUUUAAAACCAUAUGCAGAAUGUUACUUCCCAUGUUGUAUGUUAGUUCCAGCAACUCUGGAAUGAAUGAUACGCUGGUGGGCUUUUGAAAACCAGAAGAACAAAAGUCUGCCAGGGAUCCUAGAUGGGACUUUAAAAAGAAAUUUACAAAUUAUUUUACUACUAUUAACAAAUUUAAAAAAGCAAUGGUGACUAAAGGUCUCAAUUAAUAAAUUGUAUCAGCUUAUAUUAAUUUAGUUCCUCCACUUCAUUACAGAAAGACACUAUCGAUCCAAAAUUUAUUAGCAGUGUUUCAUUAAAGCCAGCGGAGGGCAGACUUGAAUUGGAAACUAUUUUUGCUACUUCAGUUACUUGAGCUUAAAAUACCAGAUAGUCCCUCGAGCUCAAAGCUGAUGACAGUCUCAUCACUCCUCUACUAUUCUAAUUACCCUUGUGCUGGAUAAAAGCUUCUUCACAAUUGCUGUUUGACAAAAUGAGUGUUUUGCUAUGUCACAGUGAGAAUAGCAGAUGUUUAAAUAAAGAUGCUAAUAUGAAAGCAGAUAAGCCAGUGUAUUAGCAGCUGUGUGUUACUCACAGGGGAGAAUCCACACUGCUUAAUAAUUAACCAUGUAUAUCUUAAAAUGGUUUUUAAAAGCUAGUGAAUAUCAUUAUCCCCAUUUUACAGAUGAAGAAACUGAGGGAUAGAGUGGUAGCCUUCCAAGUUAUUCAUCUAGGUGACCUACAGAAGCAGGAGUAAAAUACAGGUAUCAGAUCUAGCCCAGUGCUUAAGCAUAUCUUUCACACAAGUAAACUAUGACAUGGCUAACUCUUGUAAACAUCAUGGAAAUGUUCGCUAGUAGCUCAGUUUGCUGAAGCUGAAGAGCUUACACUAAUGAAAUAGGCAGGUAACCUGACAGGCAGGUUGUAGCUCUUGAAAAGAAUAUUCUCCUCAAGAAGAGGGGUGGUGAUCAGAUGACUAAUGAUCUGCUUUAAGGAUAGUAUUUUAAUAAUAAGACAAGUACUCUGCAUUUUUAUGUAUAUUUGUCAUUCUUUAAGUUAGGUUGUACAUUUUCCAAGGAAUGAAGAGGCUUUCUAUGUAGACCUUUAAAGGCAUUCCAUUCUCAGUACUAGGAAAUGUAUGGUUAAAAAGUCAAUUUGCGUACAAGUGAAGGAUUAAGAUGCUAAUAGACUGUUUCCCCCUUCCCUUCAUGUUUAAUUACAAGGGUUUCAAAUUAUGAGUGCUACAAUAGGCUCCCUGUUAACUCACCAAGCCUACCCUAUUUCCUGUACCUGGGGUCAGUAACAUUUGUGGGAUUAGUGUGACUCUCUGUUCCAUUCUCUUUAUAUGUUUAGGAGAUCAUUACCCAUUGUAACAGCUUUUUAAAUUAUAAAAAUACGCUGAUUUCAUUUUUAUCUGUAAACCGCAGUGUAAACUGUUCUUUCUGUUUCUAGUGAAGACUGGAGUCAUGCUGUUACAAAGCUUGCCGUUCCUCAGACUUGUAUAAGAUACACCACAGAACAUUUGGUGCUGCAGGUUGAAAACGCCAUUUGUAGAAUGAAUGAGCACAUUGCACAAUGCAUUUUUUUUGUUUUUCUUACUGCUAAUUUGCAGUGGACAGUUGUUGAUGGUGGGAAUUAGUCAUUGGUUCAUGUGACUGAAUGACAAGGACCACAUUGAAAAUUACAAGUUAGAAUGUGAAUGAGUGGGCACUUACAGUCUGGACUCAAAUACUGUAUAACCUAUUACUGUGUAAUUCAUUUCUGGUAUAUUUCCAGUCAAAUCAUGUUGAAAUAGGAGUCAGAAAUAUCUGGCAGUGAUUUAAAGUAAAUUAAAACAAUGUGGGAAUUACUCCAAAAGUUAUUACUGUAAAUUCAAGCAAUGAAUGUCAGGUUAACCUUCAAAGAAGUCCAGAGUCCGAGAUGUGCAGGGAGGGCUUUCAGCAGCCUUUACAAUAGCCCAGUACUGACUUUUCAACUCAAUAUUCAAGAUUUUCUAAGUACUGUGUGAAAGUUUGUAAGAAGAGAUUACAGAAGAGCCUGCUUUGAAUUCCUUUAAGAUUCUUGAUGAUUUCUCCUUGUACUUUGUAAUUUUACACCUCACGAAGAGUUGCCAUCUCCAAAUAGUCAUCACUUUCCAUACCCCACAGAGGCCUGAAAAUGCAAUUACCUCAAAAGGGAAAAGAUUAAUUUUCUCUUCUGCAGAAGGAAAAUCUUUUCUCAAAAUAACCAGUAAUCAAAGGCAUUUGUUUAAACUAAUCCUAGAUGGUGUAUGUUCUCUUUUGUUUGUACACAGCUUUCCCUUUUACUUGUAAUAGAUACUUGAAAUGUUAAAAAAAAUGAUUUAAGUGCAGUUAAGAUAUUACUACCUCAGAAGUAUGUCAUUGUUAUGUACCAUUGUGUUUGUUCUGCUAAGCAGGCACGACUCAAUUAGGGAGUUGCAGAUAAUGCAAAUUAAGUGUCUCAGAGCAGUAGCUGUGGUUGUAGGCAGAUUGACCAAAAGCCUGUUGCUAUAUUUCUUUACAUGGAAACAGUUGGAUAGGUAUAUACUGUCCGAAUAAAGAAAAUGGCGUUGUUGUGUGCCUGUGACAAAAAAUAAAAUAGUAUUUUCUUGGCAAAGUAUACUUAGUUUUGGAUUAAAACAAAGAAAUUUGAAUUUACCAUGUAUAAAGCUUGUACAGUAGUAUUUGAUCAAAAUCAAUUACUCUGGUAAUGUACUUUCAGAGAUGGGAGUUUUGCUGACAGCGAAAAGAUACUUCUACACCUCUGGAAAUUAAAGCCCACUGCUGUCAAGUUGCCAGGACCCUUGCAUGUGUGCUGAGGUGUCCUUUUUAGUAAGUUAAGGAUGUUUAUACUUACUGUCACGAGUAGCAGAAAAACAGCAGUGAUCGCUUCCAUGUUUAGAAUUUUGUUGAGUCUACUACCUGUGAGCAGACUGCGCUGAAGUUAUCUGAAACUCCUCAUCGCCAGUCUCGUUCUUGACAUGCUUCAGCCUCCAGCAGUCUGCUGCAACUUCUGUUACACCUCCUGAGAAUCUGUGCCUGGCAAUUCCUUUUUCUCCCCCAUUGGCCCCAAGCCAGAAAUACAUCCAUUUGCACAAAUGCUUCUUAACCUUGUUCACACUGCUUCUUGCCUUUUUUUUUUCUCCCCUCUUUCUGCUUCUCUGGUUGCUGUAUGCUUUUAUACUAAAUUUAGCGCUUGUGGAGUUUUCUGUGUAAUAAACCAGUGGUUACCAUGAA